CCCGGCGAUUAUGGCGGAGAUGCCACACCUGUUCCCAUUCCGAACACAGAAGUUAAGCUCUCCCGCGCCGAUGAUACUGAAAUCGGGAAAGUAGGUCGUCGCCGGGU
This 107-nucleotide ribosomal RNA is filed under the name Planctomycetota bacterium. The record is from RNAcentral. Lineage: Bacteria; Pseudomonadati; Planctomycetota.